GCUGGGUGUGAUGCCUCACACCUGUAAUCCCAGCACUUUGGGAGGCCGAGGUGGGAGAAUUGCUUGAGCCCAGGAGUUCCAGACCAGCCUGGGCAACAUAGCGAGACCCUAUCUCUU
Pongo abelii (Sumatran orangutan) is the source of this 117-nucleotide unclassified non-coding RNA. It matches the Rfam family "Metazoan signal recognition particle RNA". From Rfam's summary of the family: The signal recognition particle (SRP) is a universally conserved ribonucleoprotein. It is involved in the co-translational targeting of proteins to membranes. Lineage: Eukaryota; Metazoa; Chordata; Mammalia; Primates; Hominidae. The record is from Ensembl.